RNAcentral lists this unclassified non-coding RNA (390 nucleotides) under soil metagenome. RNAcentral's name for it is "partial contains 5.8S ribosomal RNA, internal transcribed spacer 2, and large subunit ribosomal RNA". The stretch from base 1 to 122 matches the Rfam family "5.8S ribosomal RNA", at positions 35 to 154 of the family's 154-position model. The record is from RNAcentral.
GAUGAAGAACGUAGCGAAAUGCGAUACUUGGUGUGAAUUGCAGAAUCCCGUGAACCAUCGAGUCUUUGAACGCAAGUUGCGCCCGAAGCCAUUAGGCCGAGGGCACGCCUGCCUGGGCGUCACACGUCGUUGCCCCCCCAUCUACUCCUUCGGGAUUGCGGGGGGCGGAUGAUGGCCUCCCGUGCGCCUUGUCGCGCGGUUGGCAUAAAUACCAAGUCCUCGGCGACGCACGCCACGACAAUCGGUGGUUGCGAAACCUCGGUUGCCUGUCGUGUGCGGUCGUCGCGCAUCGAGGGCUCGAAAAAAUUGCCGGGUUCCGGCUCGGCUUUCAACGCGACCCCAGGUCAGGCGGGGUUACCCGCUGAAUUUAAGCAUAUCAUAAGCGGAGGA